Long non-coding RNA from Equus caballus (horse), 1960 nucleotides. NCBI's taxonomy places the organism in Eukaryota, Metazoa, Chordata, Mammalia, Perissodactyla, Equidae. The record is from Ensembl.
GGAUGGGAAACCUGCAGGUAGGGGGGAGGGUCCUUCCCCCUCCACCUCCUCAUUUUGAUCUCCCUAGAAGAACUCCAAGAUUAAAAGCAUCCUUCUUAUUUGUUGCUGAGUUGCUCCUCCACGUAUAAGAAAAGUGCUGCUUUCUCUUGCUGUAUGGUGAAACACUUUAGACAACCACAUCUUUUUUCCUAAGACAUGUGAAGCUGAUGUAAAUAUUGAAAUAAUAUAGAAGACCCAGGAAGAAUAACUUAAAAUCAUAAUAGGGCUCUGCUGCGAGCUAUAGGAGAUGAAUAAGAAAUGGCAUCUGACUUCAAGAAGCUUCUAAUUGUAUUAUAGAGCUCGGAUAGAGGCAUGUGGAAGAAGAACCGUAAUGAGUAAAAGAUUACGAAAAAUACCAAGUUUGUGACCACAUAAGUUGCUAAGGGAAUUCAAAGAAGGAAGAGGAGUAUCGUUCAGGACGGCUUGAUGGACAAAACGGAAUGUGCUCAAGCCCUUUGAAAGGAUUUUGAUACGAAAGCUGAAAAUUAGAGAACAAAAUGAAAUGCUCCAACAUUGAGAAGCAAUUAAAGUUGCCUUUAGUUGUUGUGUCUAUGAACAUAUUUUGUGGGAUAUAUUUGGGAGGCAGCUUUUCAACAUAAGAGCAAAAGUCAGUAAGUUUUCUGGAAUGUUCUAUUUUGCUUUACCUUUGUUACUUACAGAAAAACAAGUAAGAUAAAAUACAUUUUCAGUCAAAUAAUGUAACAUAAUAUGAGAAGGACUGGCUGUUGUCAACCUGAUGAUCAGGAUAUAUUUUAGAGUUUUUUAUUUUUUUAGCCAAUAUAACCAUAAAAUGACAAAAUACCCUUUUCCAGGAUAUUUAGUGAUUCACUGGAUGAGUCAUACCUUUUAAAAUCUCUGCUCCUUUCAUCAUAACUUGGAAAUUUUCCAUAUUAUAAACUGUAUUUUCUUUCAUGCCUAUAAGAACCAAAGGCUAUGUUUGGAAAUCCAGAUACCACCUUAAUCUGUAGGGUUAUUGUAAGAUGGGUUUAUGUGAUCUGAAAGUCUUUUGUAUUUGUGCUGUAUAGCUCGAUUCUUAUCUGAAUUUUUUAAAAUGUCCAGGCCAGAGAUGUGACAAACUCUUGACCAUGCCAUAGUUUCAAAGGUUUGUGGAAAGACCUGAGUGUUGAGUCGCACACUAGAUGCGGUAUGCUGUUGCGUGUGACUUCCCUGGUUGUGUCUUAAAAGCAAUCUCUACUUCUACAGCAGAGUUGCAAAUCAAAAGUGAACUACCAUUUUUUGAUCACUGGUGAGUAAACAUUUAAAAAACUGGAGCCCUACUUUCAGGUGUGGUGGUGAAAUCGUAUUGCUCUCCAUUCAUACCUAGAAGUACUUUAAUCUGAUUGUUUACUCUGUAAGCAAAGCAUUACCACAUGCAACACUCCCUCUUGUUUUUCCCCUCUUGCAUUAUUCACACUAAUGCCGGAGCAGAUUUAUUAAUAUCAGCCUGCAAAUGGCAUUAUUCCACAUACUCUGAGAAUUUACAUCCUGGGAUCAACAUUUAUAGAGCAAUAAAAGUAGCACAAGUGGAAGGAAAUCGCAUUGUGGGUUGCAUUUUUUCCUUCCAGGAUUUCUAAAUACAGCUAAACUGUUGAUCAGCAAACUUUUACUGAAUGACCACUGUGUUUGGGCACUGCAUCCCAGAGACAUAGAAGUCUAAAAGAAGUUCCCUUCUUCAAAGAACCUGGAGACUAGCUGGGAAAGGACUGACACGUAGGAAAUACCAGCAAACAUAAUGGUACUCUAUAAUUCCAUAAUAAAUAGUAUAGUAUGAACUAUUUAUGCUAUAGACAUGCAUUGUCCAAUAUGGCAGCCACUAGAUACAUAUGGUUAUUGGGCACUUGAAAUGUGGUUAUUGUGAAUUGUGGCUAAUGUGGAAUUGUGAAUUCAUAACUGUAAAUAUACAUUGGAUUUCAAAGGUGUG